UCCACAUUAAGGCAAGGAACAAUGAAAUGUUAAUAUCAAGAGUUAUGGCCUCAUUUCCAAGAUGAGUUUGUAUGAUUAUUACUGAGAGUACAUAAUUGGAAGCAGACAGGACGCCUGAAGUGCCAAAGAAAAGAUGGGUCAGUUCAGUUUUAUCUCAUAAUCAAAGUGCCAGAAUCAGAUGCCCAAUCCACAAUAUCUCAGUGCACUAUAAGAAGCUCUUAGUUCAUGAAAAAGGGAAGAAAAAAACAUACACAAGAUAAGAAUCUACAAUAAAAGAUGCAGGUCAACUUCUCAACUUGGAUAUACUUUAGUCACCACUAUGGGAGGACCAUCUACCAUGCUUCACAAGUUCUAGUCCCAUCUUUAAAGAUGUAAUGUAACAGCCUUCCUUACUAAUUUCUUCAUGGUUCUAGGCUUCUUUUUAUUAUGCUUCUUGUCCUGAUGGCAUAAUAGGGUAGACAGGGGUUUAUUACAGCUUUAAGCUGAUCUACUUUCAACUCCUAAUAUCACCAAUAGAGCUAUUCAUUGUGGUGAUCUAAAUGUUUUUAUUUUGCAUAUAUUGUCCUCAAUGCACGAGACUUCUAGUUUUUAUGAAGGUCUUUUGCAUUUCUAAAGUAGGAAAGGAUCUAAGAUUA
Long non-coding RNA from Ricinus communis (castor bean), 635 nucleotides. RefSeq lists it as uncharacterized. The record is from RefSeq and is a predicted model, not a curated record. The transcript has 2 exons. Lineage: Eukaryota; Viridiplantae; Streptophyta; Magnoliopsida; Malpighiales; Euphorbiaceae.